UAUCUCUGUAGAGUCUGCAUAUCAAUAAGCGGAGGAAAAGAAACUAACUAGGAUUCCCUUAGUAACGGCGAGUGAAGCGGGAAGAGCUCAAAUUUGAAAUCUUCAAGGUUCUACCUUGACGAAUUGUAGUUUAAAGAAGUGUUUUCUGUAGGAGUUUUGGUAAAAGUUCUUUGGAAUAGGACAUCAUAGAGGGUGAGAAUCCCGUAUUUGACCAUUAUUUCCAGCUUUGUGAUACACUUUCAAAGAGUCGGAUUGUUUGGGAAUGCAGUCCAAAAUGGGUGGUAAAUUUCAUCUAAAGCUAAAUAUUGGCGAGAGACCGAUAGCGAACAAGUACCGUGAGGGAAAGAUGAAAAGAACUUUGAAAAGAGAGUUAAACAGUACGUGAAAUUGUCAAAAGGGAAGCGUUUGACACCAGUGUUGUUUUCUCGAAAAUCAAUUAAAAAAGGCAGGAUUUUGUGUUGUAUUGACUUUAUCAGCUUUCUGCACUCUUUUCUUGUCUUUUUUAAUGCACUUUUCGUUUAACAAGUCAACAUCAAUUUCUUUUGUUGUAAAAGGGUCAUUGGAAGGUGGCUUUCUUUUCGGAGAAAGUGUUUAUAGCCUUUGGCCUCUGCAAUAGGAGAGAUUGAGGUCUGCAGCGUAGAUCCUUCGGGGUUAGAUACAUUUGUGCUAAGUUAUAGCCUUUCAUAGACAACUUGUUGACUAUGAUCAGUCAUGUAGCUUACUCGCUUAUGCUAUUUUACCUACGCUUAGGAUGUUGACGAUCAGCUGAGCGC
RNAcentral lists this ribosomal RNA (773 nucleotides) under uncultured Neocallimastigales. RNAcentral describes it as "partial large subunit ribosomal RNA". It matches the Rfam family "Eukaryotic large subunit ribosomal RNA", at positions 24 to 646 of the family's 3401-position model. The record is from RNAcentral. Lineage: Eukaryota; Fungi; Neocallimastigomycota; Neocallimastigomycetes; Neocallimastigales.